UGACUGAUGUGCGUGUGUCUGUCUG
RNAcentral lists this non-coding RNA (25 nucleotides) under Mus musculus (house mouse). The record is from RNAcentral. Lineage: Eukaryota; Metazoa; Chordata; Mammalia; Rodentia; Muridae.